GGAGGGAGCUAGCCCUGUACGAUUCUUCUUCUCUUGGGCCAGGGUCCCCACCCCAGCCCCAGGGUUCUGGGGCGGGCGUUUAGGGGACCAGGCCUGGGGAAGGGGCCAUCAGGGACCCGGGCCUUGAGCAGAGGGCGGGGCCUGGAGGAGGAGCCGAGGGCAGUGUAGGGAGGAGAAGGUGAGGGAGGGGGUGGGGGCGAGGGGAGCAGACAGACAUCCCCAAAACAGGCGUGGGAACAAGGUGGUGGUGCGAAAAGACCAGUACUCGGGGUAGAGAAGGGGGAAAGUGGGGGACAGAGGAGUCAACGGAGCAGCUCGGCUUGCGGAGGUCAGGAAAAGGGAGAGAGGGGUCCUGAGACCCUGGGUUCCAUGUGGCCAGAAAGCUAGAGGCGGAGUUGCAGGAGGCGCGGAGUUUUCCGUCCCGGGAUCUUCGGUUACGCUGAGAAAACCUUAGCAGGUGGAGAUGGAGGAAACGUGGGAGUGUCACAGGUCCGGGCUCUUGCAGCCCGGGAUUCCUGGAUCACCGAGUGAAGCGAUGGGGAGGAGGUUCUCAAUGACUCUCCGAGGUUAAUCAGCACAAGCACUGUGACUUCUGAGUCACCCCCCACCCCAGGGCCAACCAAAGAUGCAGGGCUGGUUGACUCACUUCUCCAGUCCCCAAGGACUCACAAUCCAACAUCCACCAAAUCCAGUUGGCAAGUGGAUGCUUUGGCGGCUAAAGGAGUUUCCCAGCCCUCCAGGCCGUAAGCUGAAGGCGCCUGGCCAACCACAGAGUCUUCCUUCUUGCUCUUCUUUCCAUCCAUCCAUCCUGACUGGCUGUGUGCACUCGGUUCAGAGCUGGAGGGAAGAGAGUGGAUAUGUACAGAAUCUAUCAGAGACUGAGGCUGACAGCAGCAAGAAAUGGACCCUUCCAUCCACCGUAUCAGCAUACCAGAGCACCAACCUGUGUCAGAUGUGGAGCCAGGUACAAGAAUCCCAAGGACUUCAGCUGCUACGACGUGAGAAGUUAGAGGAGGCGUAAACACAGCUUCCCAGUCCUGCACUGGCUGGCUGUGGGGAGUAUUCCAGUCCCCAGUCCACCCUUGUUUCAAGACCACUACUGCAUUUUGCCUGUAAAGCAGCAAUGACUUAUGCUUCCUCCACAUGAUACAAUUAACUGGAGUCCUCCAGAGCCCAGGCUCUGAUUCAGCUCCCUCAGGGCCCUGAUGCUUCAGCACUGAGGUUAAAGAUCCUGGGCCUAAAUCCCUGGAGAAACACAGUUGUUUAUCUUGACUCAUAAAAAGCCACUCAAGAAAGAGGUUUGGUUGCCCUGGGCAGGUAGGUUGGAGACGCCAUAAACAACUCAUUUGAUGGGUUUCCGGAUGAAAAUUUAUUUACCUGAGGUGACGUCUGGGAUUAUCUUCUUCUGGCUCCAGGAUAACUAGCCCUUCAAAGAUUUUAGAGUGAAUGGGGAAGUAGAGAUGGAACAGAAGAAAGAUUAGCUGGGAACUGCAGUGAAUUGAGGUGUCUAAAAUGUCCAUCUCACAAUGGCAGACACAGUCAGCUGGGAGAUCCAGAAGGUGGGUACCCUAAGUUUGCUGAAUCUCACCAAACAGAAGUGGCUUCUUUAAACUGAGAGAGAGAGAGAGAAGACUUAUUUUCAUUUUUCAGUUACUCAUAAAGAGACGGGUGGCCCUGAUUGAUAGGACAGAGGCCAAGGUUCUACUUGAGACUCAGCAGUGACUCCAGCCACUGUAUCCAGAGUCCUCAGGGUUUUCAAAGCUGUUUUUCAUUCCACAGAGAUACAUGAGACCCUAUUCCAUGCAGGCAUCCUGCUGGGCAAGCGAAAUCUGGGGAUGAUGAAGGUUCCCCAAGGAACCUUUCUUUUUAAAUAUGGUUCCUAAGCUCUCAUACUAUGGCUCCCAGGAGCCAGAGCUCUAGAGAAGUUUCACCUGAUUUGUGGGAUUCCCACCACCACCCAUAAUGCCAAAUCUUGUUUCUCCAUCACUUUUCAGGAUGAAAAGCUGAAUUAGUCAGUGAGCAUUUUGAGUUAUUGCAUGUGCCGGGUCCUAAGCUAGCGAUUGUAAAGGAAAUGCUUAGGACAGUCUUCGCCCUCAAGAAACUGUCCAACAGGACACAGGGUCAAAUGAGAUGGGUGAUGAGAUGGGUGAGCACUAGACCGCCCAGGUUUAACGAGUGCGCCUGCGUAUGUACCUGUGUGUUUGUGCAUGUGAAGGCCAGAAGGCAACCUCGGGGGUGGGCUUUUGGUUUAUUUAGUUGUUGUUUACUUUUCUUUGUUUUGUGACCUGGAAAUUAAAAAAAAAAAAAAAAAGGCUAAGCUGCCUGGAGUCAACUGCCUCCAGCUCCCCAGAGCUUGGACGGAAAAAAACAGUUGCUCUCACAGCCAACUUUUUAAUGUGGAUUCUGGGGAGCGAGCUCCUUUACUGACUGACCUAUCUCCCUGGUCCCUCUGCUGAAUUCUAACUGAGCCGCUAAGUAUCCAUUGUUAAUUUCUAUGCCUCAGUUUCCUCCCCCAUAAGAUUGGGCUUAACACAACAGGACCUUUAUUGACACUUUCUCAUAAGGAUUAAAUGAGAUAACUAACACAAAUAACUUUUUCAUUCAGACUGACAUAGAAAACCAACCUUAUUGGCUCUCUCUCUCUCUCUCUCUCUCUCUCUCUCUCUCUCUCUCUCUCUCUUGGAAAAUGGAGGCAAGAGAAUUACCAGUUGAGGCCAGCCUGGAGUACACGGCGAGCCCCUAUGUAUUGAUAUUAAAUGGCCAGAAGCAUUAGAGAGGAGAAAGUUUAGUUAUGGAAGGCUGCCUGGAAUAGGCUAUGUAACACCAGAACUUUGAUGCUCCAGUUUCUCUGAGGGUAGAUUCUUGCAUCAUUCCUUUACCUCUGCUCUCUCUGCCACUUGGUACAAUGCAAGGCUUUGGGUGAAAUCUGUUUGUGGAGUGAACAACUGUCUAUCACAGGGUUGGGGCAGGUACAAUGAACCAGGGGCAUUCUUCCACAACGAAGCAGGUAAAAGAAGACUGGUGUCUUGCAGGAGACAUGAAAAUGGUGACAUUGUUUGUAACAGUGUGUCACCUAUUUCAUGUGAAAUGGAAGCAUUAGCCAGUGGAGGGUGGAAAGACUCUCAGCUGGAUCACAACCUGAUCACCAAGUAAAGAAAUUUCCUGUCCUUUCCAAAUGUUCCUGCUGUAGAGUUCUGGUGAGCUGGGGCUUCGCCCACCUCCUUCUGAAUUUAAAUAAACUUCAGACUAACAUUCAAAUUUAGCGAGGUAUAUGGUUUCCGUUUUAAUCUCAAUCACAUGUCUGUUUCUUGU
This is a long non-coding RNA of Peromyscus californicus insignis, 3312 nucleotides long. RefSeq lists it as uncharacterized. The record is from RefSeq and is a predicted model, not a curated record. The transcript is spliced from 3 exons. NCBI's taxonomy places the organism in Eukaryota, Metazoa, Chordata, Mammalia, Rodentia, Cricetidae.